RNAcentral lists this ribosomal RNA (253 nucleotides) under uncultured bacterium. RNAcentral describes it as "partial 16S ribosomal RNA". It matches the Rfam family "Bacterial small subunit ribosomal RNA", at positions 524 to 776 of the family's 1533-position model. The record is from RNAcentral.
UACGUAGGGCGCAAGCGUUAUCCGGAAUUAUUGGGCGUAAAGAGCUCGUAGGCGGUUUGUCGCGUCUGCCGUGAAAGUCCGGGGCUCAACUCCGGAUCUGCGGUGGGUACGGGCAGACUAGAGUGAUGUAGGGGAGACUGGAAUUCCUGGUGUAGCGGUGAAAUGCGCAGAUAUCAGGAGGAACACCGAUGGCGAAGUCAGGUCUCUGGGCAUUAACUGACGCUGAGACGCGAAAGCGUGGGGAGCGAACAGG